RNAcentral lists this ribosomal RNA (699 nucleotides) under uncultured bacterium. RNAcentral describes it as "bacterial SSU rRNA". It matches the Rfam family "Bacterial small subunit ribosomal RNA", at positions 8 to 695 of the family's 1533-position model. The record is from RNAcentral.
AGAGUUUGAUCCUGGCUCAGAACGAACGCUGGCGGCAGGCUUCAUACAUGCAAGUCGAACGCGAAAGCUCCUUCGGGAGCAAGUAGAGUGGCGAACGGGUGAGUAACAGGUGGAUAAUCUACCUUCCGGUGGGGGACAACAGCUGGAAACGGCUGCUAAUACCGCAUACGUUUGUUUCCCAUAAGGGAAAUAAGGAAAGGGGCAAUUGCUCCGCCGGAUGAUGGGUCCGCCUCCCAUUAGCUUGUUGGUAGGGUAACGGCCUACCAAGGCAACGAUGGGUAGCCGAGCUGAGAGGUUGAUCGGCCACACUGGAACUGAGACACGGUCCAGACACCUACGGGUGGCAGCAGUAGGGAAUAUUGCGCAAUGAACGAAAGUUUGACGCAGCCAUGCCGCGUGGAUGAUGAAGGCCUUCGGGUCGUAAAGUCCUUUUCUGAGGGAAGAACAAGCAGGGGAGUGGAAAGCCCUUGCCCUGACGGUACCUCAGGAAUAAGCAACGGCUAACUCCGUGCCAGCAGCCGCGGUAAUACGGAGGUUGCAAGCGUUGUUCGGAAUUACUGGGCGUAAAGGGAGCGCAGGCGGCCAAGUCAGUCUAAAGUGAAAGUCCGGGGCUCAACCCCGGAAGGGCUUUGGAUACUGCUUGGCUUGAGUACGUGAGAGGUGAGCGGAAUUUCAGGUGAAGCGGUGAAAUGCGUAGAU